Molecule: ribosomal RNA, 497 nt
Filed under: uncultured bacterium
Lineage: Bacteria
Description: partial 16S ribosomal RNA
Rfam family: Bacterial small subunit ribosomal RNA
Source: RNAcentral
GAUGAACGCUGGCGGCGUGCCUAAUACAUGCAAGUCGAGCGAACGGACGAGAAGCUUGCUUUUCUGAUGUUAGCGGCGGACGGGGGAGUAACACGUGGAUAACCUCCCUAUAAGACUGGGAUAACUUCGGGAAACCGGAGCUAAUACCGGAUAAUAUUUUGAACCGAAUGGUUCAAAAGGGAAAGACGGUCUUGCUGUCACUUAUAGAUGGAUCCGCGCUGCAUUAGCUAGUUGGUAAGGUAACGGCUUACCAAGGCAACGAUGCAUAGCCGACCUGAGAGGGUGAUCGGCCACACUGGAACUGAGACACGGUCCAGACUCCUACGGGAGGCAGCAGUAGGGAAUCUUCCGCAAUGGGCGAAAGCCUGACGGAGCAACGCCGCGUGAGUGAUGAAGGUCUUCGGAUCGUAAAACUCUGUUAUUAGGGAAGAACAUAUGUGUAAGUAACUGUGCACAUCUUGACGGUACCUAAUCAGAAAGCCACGGCUAACUACGUG